AUAUGCAAUCUGACUCAUUUUCUUCACAAAGUGUCCGGACACCAUUUAGAGCCGUCCGGACACUUAUCGGGAAAUUGGGUUUUAAAACAUGUUUAACAUUUCUGGGUUCAUUAUAUUCCACUGGUUUUACAGAAAUAGCCGAGAGAGAGACAGAGUGUGGAGAGAAGGUGAUUUUGAAGGAGAUCAAGGAGAAGAAAGCUUGAAUCAAGAGUUUGGAACUUGUGUAAGCUUGGUUUUCAAGAUUUCUUCAAGAUUGAGAUUUGAGCUUGGAUUGAAGUGUGGAGAUAGGAGGAGAGGUGGCUGUGUUAGGGUUUGAAGAUUUGGGCAAGGUUGAUUGGGCUUGGAAGAGUGGUGGAGUUUUACCCAAACGAGGUGAUAUAGGUACUAGCGCUAGUGCUCCGACCACGGAUCAGCAGGGAGGCGCGUGACGUGGAUGGCCUGGACUAGUGUUGGUGUGGUGGUUUGCUUUUAUUAUGUUUAAGUAGUGUUUAUGUUAUGGAUGAAUGAUUAUUUUGGUUGGUUAGGUCUGAGGCCUUGGUAUGUACAUGUGUAUAGGAUUUAUGAUUUGGGAUGAUAUGGCCUGAGGCCCUGGAUGAUUAUUUUGGUGGUAUGGGAAUUGUGUGGUUUAAAUUGUUAUAUUUUGUGCAGGGAGCAUUCUCCGAAAUACGGGGAGGUGUUGUCGGAUUUUUGUUUAAA
This is a long non-coding RNA of Tripterygium wilfordii, 696 nucleotides long. RefSeq lists it as uncharacterized. The transcript is spliced from 4 exons. Lineage: Eukaryota; Viridiplantae; Streptophyta; Magnoliopsida; Celastrales; Celastraceae. The record is from RefSeq and is a predicted model, not a curated record.